RNAcentral lists this ribosomal RNA (262 nucleotides) under uncultured archaeon. RNAcentral describes it as "partial 16S ribosomal RNA". It matches the Rfam family "Archaeal small subunit ribosomal RNA", at positions 748 to 1008 of the family's 1478-position model. The record is from RNAcentral.
AGGGUGUAAACGCUGCAGACUUGGUGUUGGGAACCCUUCGGGGGUGCUCAGUGCCGGAGAGAAGUUGUUAAGUCUGCUACUUGGGGAGUACGUCCGCAAGGAUGAAACUUAAAGGAAUUGGCGGGGGAGGCACCGCAACGGGAGGAGCGUGCGGUUUAAUUGGAUUCAACGCCGAAAAACUCACCAGCAGCGACUGUUACAUGAAAGUCAGGUUGAAGACUCUACUUGAUGAUCUGAGAGGAGGUGCAUGGCGUCAGUGACU